CGCGUAGGCGGCCUUCUAAGUCGAACGUGAAAUCCCCGGGCUCAACCCGGGAACUGCGUCCGAUACUGGAAGGCUUGAAUCCGGGAGAGGGAUGCGGAAUUCCAGGUGUAGCGGUGAAAUGCGUAGAUAUCUGGAGGAGCACCGGUGGCGAAGGCGGCAUCCUGGACCGGUAUUGACGCUGAGGCGCGAAAGCCAGGGGAGCAAACG
RNAcentral lists this ribosomal RNA (207 nucleotides) under uncultured bacterium. RNAcentral's name for it is "partial 16S ribosomal RNA". It matches the Rfam family "Bacterial small subunit ribosomal RNA", at positions 568 to 774 of the family's 1533-position model. The record is from RNAcentral.